Podarcis muralis (Common wall lizard) is the source of this 2163-nucleotide long non-coding RNA. NCBI's taxonomy places the organism in Eukaryota, Metazoa, Chordata, Lepidosauria, Squamata, Lacertidae. The record is from Ensembl.
CUCCCCUGCGAGAGCGCUCCGCGCGCCGGCUGCCAGCCCACCUGGGCGAACCCUUCACCUGGGCGCCGCGCGUGGCGUGGCGAGGCCGGGCCCCGCCUCCCGGUCUCUCUGGUGUGGGGGAGGGCGGGGCCAACGAGCUGGGAACUUGCGGCGGGUCUCUCCGCCCGCCCCCCCCCCCGCCCGCCUUCCCAGGCUCCUGCCUUAACCUGUUGGCGGCCCCUGAGGGGAGAGAGCGGCGCGCGCGCGCGCUGAGGUAACCCGGCAGCGCGCUUGGAGAACUUCCUCGAGCGAAGUUGCGCGCAGCCCGUGAGGGAGCUCGGCCGAACGGGGCUCCUGCUCGCCUCUCCUUUGCUCCACGGGAUAAAGAGGUGUGUCUGGGCGAGAGAGAGAGAGAGAGCCUUGCAACAUGGCCUCCUCCUCCUCCUCUCCCUCCGCCUCCGCCGCCUUUUCUCCAGGCGGGGAUGCCCGAGAACUGGACCAGGUUUAUCACAGGCAUCAUCCUCCUCAAAGCUCUCGAAAGGUAAGUGAAUGUGGCAUUGGCCACCCCUGACUUCACUUAAUCGCUUUCUUAUUGCUGAUGCCCAGUUAUGGAAUAAAAACAAUAAGUCACUAGGGGAAACUUGACAUGCAGGUAUUGUGGAUACACCUGGAGUAUAUAUAUUCUGAGGAAGAUGGUAAGUGCCUGUUUUCCGUCUUGGCCUUACUUAGCCCAUGACCUCUUCUGAGGGUCUGAAUUUGUUGUUGACACCUAUCAACGCCCUCCUGGUAAUGAGCUCUGUUUCUCUCUGCUGAAAGGGAGGUAAAAAUGAGAACCGCUUUGCUAGAUGGCUAGCUAUUGAUUUUUCUACAGAUCCUUCCCAGAUUGCAAGGUUUCACUGGCCAGGAACCCACUGAUAGGUGUCAGCAUUUUGCUUCAAAUUUCAGUAAUUUAUUAUAGAAACAAGUUCGAAAAGUCCUAAGCAAAGUCUUAUUAAGAAAGUAUUUUGAAACUAGGAGUGGGGGGUGCUAUGCAAGAAGAGCUCAAAACUAGGCCUUGGUCAAAAUGAAAUAAUUUUCAGUUUAAUGAUUGGACGUGGCCAGCAUUGCUGUUAAAUACAAAAGAAAGUGAAUUGUGGUACUUUCCUCUUUUUCUGACUACAUGGCUCAGUGAAGUUUAACAAAGUGGGUUUUUUUAAGCUUUAUGUUAAAAAUUGCAUCAUAGAAACUGAUUGUUUUCUGUAUUUAUCCAGUACAUAAAUAUGAAUUAAACACUCUGACUUUAUAAUACUGCUACCCCUAAGUAAUUAUAAGCACCAGUAUCUAUACAUUCUAUGUUUCCUCUUUAUAAUAACAUCACACACCUAAUGUACUAUGUGUGAACGUUUACCAUUUUAUUCAUCUUGGAGACAUCAUUAACGUAUACAGUAUGUUUGAUACCUAUUUAAAUUUAUCCAUAUAGGCUGUUCAACUAUCUGAAUUUGGUCUUGCAUGCGCUGUUAAUGCAUUUUCCUCCAGCGAUUUGACGGCAUCUUUUCUUUACUUCUCUUCUCAGCGGUAGUUAGAAUGUUUUCCCUGAAACCAAAAUUAGCAUUAAGAUUCAUGUAAAUCUCAGUGGUUUCACCAGAACUUUAAAAGUAACUUUAGAAUGGUUUCAUGUAUGCCAGGAUUUAUAUUAAUUUCACUUCCAAGGCAAAAGCUAGUGAACAGUCUUCAGAAGUGAACUUGACCUGAAGCAGAUACAUAAUAAGCAUUUAACAGCGAAGCUAACAUCAGCCUUAAAAUUCAUGUCAAUCUAAAAUAGUGUUUGGAGUAGCCCUUCAGGUUUCUCAGAUUGGGGAACUUGACCCUGACGGUCGUGGAUGAUGAUGAUGAUGAACUGUGCAAAAUGAGGGAAUAAUACAAUUUAAUCUGUCUUGAGUGGAAGUCUUGCAGCCUUGUAGUUUGAGAGUAGUAAGAUCUGUGCUUCUAAACCGCGGCUAAAAAGUGAAGAGCUGAUUUAUAAAGUAGUAUUUCUGACUAUAUCUUAUGAAACAAAUACUGUUUUUUUGGUUCUUGCAGUAUAAAGUCACCCAAGGGGUUGUAUUGUCAGAAACAUUGUGCUAGUUAACGCAUCACAGCACAUUUUCUGAUGAUGCAGUUCUUGGCUUGGAGAGAGCCAAGCUGUCUUGUCUGACCACAAUGAAA